Molecule: non-coding RNA, 220 nt
Organism: Cinara cedri
Lineage: Eukaryota; Metazoa; Arthropoda; Insecta; Hemiptera; Aphididae
Source: the annotation of a GenBank genome assembly
AUUCAUUAUUUCUAUCAUUCGCGAUAAAAUAUUAGAGAUAUUAAAGAUAUUAAAAUGCAACAUUUAAUAAUUUUUUCUUUAAUAUUUUGUGCGAUCUUUAUCCACACAGGACAUACAUACGAAAAUGUAGAUUCGGAUGCAAGUAUGUUGGCAUAUAAUUAUUUAACAACCAAAAAACUUUAAGGGUAACGAAGAAUUUUUUUUUUUUUCCAUAAAUUUA